RNAcentral lists this ribosomal RNA (410 nucleotides) under uncultured microorganism. RNAcentral describes it as "bacterial SSU rRNA". It matches the Rfam family "Archaeal small subunit ribosomal RNA", at positions 330 to 745 of the family's 1478-position model. The record is from RNAcentral.
GCGCACCAGUCGAGAAAACUUUACAAUGUGCGAAAGCACGAUAAGGGAACUCUGAGUGCCUCCUAAGGAGGCUGUUCAGGUGUCUAAAAAGCACCUGGAGUAAGGGCUGGGUAAGACCGGUGCCAGCCGCCGCGGUAACACCGGCAGCCCAGGUGGUAGCCACUUUUAUUGGGUCUAAAGCGUCCGUAGCCGGUUGAGUAAGUUCCUUGGGAAAUUUGGCUGCUCAACAGUCAAGCUUCCAGGGAAUACUGCUCGACUUGGGACUGGGAGAGGUCAGAGGUACUCCAGGGGUAGGGGUGAAAUCCAUUAAUCCCUGGGGGACCACCGGUAGCGAAGGCGUCUGACCAGACCAGGUCCGACGGUGAGGGACGAAGGCUAGGGUCGCGAACCGGAUUAGAUACCCCUGUAGU